GCCCGGUUAGCUCAGUCGGUAGAGCAACCCUUACGUCCCUCUCAACGAGGCGGAUGACACCGAAAUGUCGGGGGUUCGAGCCCCCCAUUGGGCG
RNAcentral lists this transfer RNA (94 nucleotides) under Puccinia graminis f. sp. tritici. RNAcentral's name for it is "tRNA-Glu". It matches the Rfam family "tRNA". From Rfam's summary of the family: Transfer RNA (tRNA) molecules are approximately 80 nucleotides in length. Their secondary structure includes four short double-helical elements and three loops (D, anti-codon, and T loops). The record is from RNAcentral. Lineage: Eukaryota; Fungi; Basidiomycota; Pucciniomycetes; Pucciniales; Pucciniaceae.